Zalophus californianus (California sea lion) is the source of this 609-nucleotide long non-coding RNA. RefSeq lists it as uncharacterized. Lineage: Eukaryota; Metazoa; Chordata; Mammalia; Carnivora; Otariidae. The transcript has 3 exons. The record is from RefSeq and is a predicted model, not a curated record.
CCAAGAGCUACAUCUUUGAGAACCCAAGUAUUUGGCAUACUUUUCUGACUUAAGCAAUGAGAGAGUGAAGUGGAAGAAUGGAGUGGUGUGUGCAGCCAUGUAAACAAGAGAUUCAUAAAAUAAAAGAAAAAUACCAUGCAUUUCCAUCAGACUGAACUAUGAAGCAACAUAUUCACAGCUUUGGCAGGAGAACCAUUUCUGAGAACCACAAGUUUUACCUCCUAGAGAAACAGAGGCAGAACUAAGCAAGGACUGAUUACUGGGGAUGACUUUACUACACUGCCCUAGCAAAGACUGAGAAUUCAAGGAGAAUAUAAAUAAUACAUAAAGGAGGAUUCCAGCAAGUCAGAGGCAAGAAUUUGCCAGAGGCCAGGAUAUCCAUUAAGAGUCUCAAGACCAAACAAGGUCAGAACAAAAGCCCAACUAUUUUUCUAACACAUAUGUACACAAAACCUACACAAUCCUUACGGGUAUCCUCAAGAUUGUUGCAUUUAGACAAAGAAGAAGAGAAAGGGAAACAGAGAUCCUCUUCCUCCUGGAUAUUUUCCAUUGUUAUUCAAAUACUACAACUUUUUCUCUUAAAGAAGCCCUCCAUUAACCCAAUCAUCA